AGCGAUGGCGAACGUUUGAUGUAUCGCGCAACAAUAUUUUUGUAAAGCAAACGGAAGAAAGUCUUAAUGGCUUUUUGCAGUUGUUGUGUCUAUUUUGCUGCCAAGUUCAGCUUACCGAAAUCCUUUCCCACUAUAAAAAUCGAUAAUAAUGUACUAGUAGUCCUAUACCCAGUAAACUAUGUGACCUCGUGAUAUUCCAUAUGUGCCCCCAUUCGAUCAGUAGCACACCAGAAGAAAAAAGCUUCCUGUUUGAAAACUCGUGUGUUGCCAAAACGCUUGACAUUUAUUUACAAAUAGAGUAAGGUUCAAUGCUGGUAUGGAAUGCAGGAAAAACAUGAUAGUCAAUUGAUAUGAGAAAUCUUGGUUGCAACCUCGCAGCAUGAUUGCACAAGAACAUACCCAGUAAUGAUAUCGACACAUGUGGUGCUGUGGUAUGCACAUUUUUCUAUCCAUAGAUAAUGUAAUAAAUAUUUUCCUUACAGUGACAAGAAGGCAAGACUUGUGUAUGUCAAAAGAGAAGAAAACGUCUCAUUACCGGCAAUCGGUUCCAUGCAUAGAAAUGGAGCUUCAAGCAAAUUGUUCCAAGAUGAUUUAACCGUCCGUUUCAUUAAGCCCUCCAUGUGUCGCCUCCCGCUGUUCAUACACAGUGUGCACGUGCCUUCUCGAUUUUCACCGACAAUAGGGGCGGUCCAUGGGUCAGGGGAAGAAGAAAAUAAAGGGACCCAGCACUACUAAUACGCCGCCAAUGGUGCUGGAAUGCAUUUUAUUUUUCUUCCUUUUUCCGCCACUCUCUCAACAGAAAUCAUCCCCUUUUCUUUCAGGUCUCUCUCUCUCUCUGAAGAAAAUGUUUCGAAUUUUUUUUUUCUCUUGGAAAUGAGAACCAGCACUCUACAGAGAGAGCACCACGUUCUUCUCUUUUUCUAUGGCGACCCCGAACAUAGGCCCCCAGUUGUUCCCUGCACAUGUUGGGGUCAUUACGACAUAAUGGCUUUCUCUCUAACUUGUAUCGUCCGUCUCCCUUUUGGAGUAGUCAAUGCUAGUGUAUCUUGUAUGUGUGCAGUGUCAUGCUGCCGAGUCAUCGGACGUGUCCGUAGAACUAGA
Long non-coding RNA from Daphnia carinata, 1101 nucleotides. RefSeq lists it as uncharacterized. The record is from RefSeq and is a predicted model, not a curated record. The transcript has 3 exons. Lineage: Eukaryota; Metazoa; Arthropoda; Branchiopoda; Diplostraca; Daphniidae.